Non-coding RNA from Nicotiana tabacum (common tobacco), 1007 nucleotides. The record is from RefSeq and is a predicted model, not a curated record. NCBI's taxonomy places the organism in Eukaryota, Viridiplantae, Streptophyta, Magnoliopsida, Solanales, Solanaceae.
UUAAGAAUUAAUUUAGAAUUUUUUUUUUGGAAAAGGGGAUUUGAAAUUGAAAAAGAAAAAGAAAAAAAGGGAUUAGAGAGGAUCUGAUUUUUGGGCCUGUUGAAUCUCAAAUCCCACAAGCCCAAACCAGAAUUCCCAAUUAACUUGUUCAAAACCAGCCCACGACCCGCCCCAAAAUCUGGUCUGCCCCACGUUGAGACCAAACGAUCCCGUUUUAAUAACCCUUCGAUCUGGGCCGUUAAUUUUGUUUAAUCUGACGGUCCGGAACUGGUUGGGUUAUACCUAUUUAAGUGUCUGAAAAGCCCCCCCUUAGACCCCCCUAGCUCACUCGUCUCUCUCGAACCUCACCUCUCAGAGACUUACCAUGAACCCUAACGCCACCACCAUUCCCCACCGCCUCGAGCCCGGCAGUGCCACCCCCAAUCACUCCCAAAAUAACACCCCAUAACCACCAAGACCCUCUCAUUCCAAAUCCCCACUCCAUUUGCCUCGAAUCUUGCCCGAACUUCUCGAAUAUCAGAUCAAAAGGUGAAUCCUAAAAUCCCAAAUUUCCAACUCAGGUUCUCAUUGAAGAUUUUUGGUCCAUUUUGACUUUAUUAAUGUGUUUUGAUAAAGAACACACGAUUAAUCUCGGAUUGGGCUGAAAGUUAAAGAUUCGAAGGCUAUCUCCAAUUCCUUACUGUCCUAUUUUAUUGUUAGGUAUUCCUUUGGCACUAUGGACAUUACUUAAGUGUAAUAUGGAGUUUGGGUAUGGAAAUGUGAUAAAACUGAUGUUGUUGUUGUUGAAUUUCAUUUCUUCUUCCUUUAAUAUAAUGUAUGGUUGUAAUGUUUAGCUCUGAGAUAUGUUGAUUUGUAUAUUGAGCAUGAAUGGGAUGUCAUAGCAUGAAAUUGAAGCUCUAAGUUGUCUGAUUCCUCUGUUUAGUUAUCAGCUUUGUUUUAAAUUGGCUAUAGGUGAAAGAAAUGCUUUGGUUAUGUUUGCAAUGAUAUUUAGGCCAGUGUUGAAGAUC